GUUAAAAAGCUCGUAGUUGGAUUUCGGAGUGGGCCAGUUGGUCCGCCGCAAGGUGUGUUACUGACUGGUUUGCUCUUCUGCGCAAAGACUGCGUGUGCUCUUUGUUGAGUGUGCGUAGGAUUUACGUCGUUUACUUUGAAAAAAUUAGAGUGUUCAAAGCAGGCUAUUGCUUGAAUACAUGAGCAUGGAAUAAUGGAAUAGGACUUUGGUCCCAUUUUGUUGGUUUCUAGGACCGAAGUAAUGAUUAAGAGGGACAAUUGGGGGCAUCCGUAUUUCGUUGUCAGAGGUGUAAUUCAUGGAUUUGCGAAAGACGAACAACUGCGAAAGCACUUGCCAAGAGUGUUUUCAUUAAUCAAGAACGAAAGUUAGAGGAUCGAAGACGAUCAGAUACCGUCCUAGUUCUAACCAU
This 409-nucleotide ribosomal RNA is filed under the name uncultured marine eukaryote. RNAcentral describes it as "SSU rRNA". It matches the Rfam family "Eukaryotic small subunit ribosomal RNA", at positions 618 to 1033 of the family's 1831-position model. The record is from RNAcentral.